Molecule: ribosomal RNA, 530 nt
Filed under: uncultured Nitrososphaerota archaeon
Lineage: Archaea; Thermoproteati; Nitrososphaerota
Description: bacterial SSU rRNA
Rfam family: Archaeal small subunit ribosomal RNA
Source: RNAcentral
UCUGGUGUCAGCCGCCGCGGUAAAACCAGCACCUCGAGUGGUCAGGAGGUUUAUUGGGCCUAAAGCAUCCGUAGCCGGUUGUUUAGGUUUUCGGUUAAAUCUAUGCGCUUAACGUAUAGGCUGCCGAAAAUACUGGACAGCUAGGGAGUGGGAGAGGUACACGGUACUCAAUAGGAAGGGGUAAAAUCCUUUGAUCUGUUGAUGACCACCUGUGGCGAAGGCGGUGUACCAGAACACGUUCGACGGUGAGGGAUGAAAGCUGGGGGAGCAAACCGGAUUAGAUACCCGGGUAGUCCCAGCUGUAAACGAUGCAAACUCGGUGAUGCAUUGGCUUGUGGCCAAUGCAGUGCCGCAGGGAAGCCGUUAAGUUUGCCGCCUGGGAAGUACGUACGCAAGUAUGAAACUUAAAGGAAUUGGCGGGGGAGCACCACAAGGGGUGAAGCCUGCGGUUCAAUUGGAGUCAACGCCAGAAAUCUUACCCGGAGCGACAGCAGAAUGAAGGUCAAGCUGAAGACUUUACCAGACAAGCU